UUUUGGUCGCCUAACAAUGCUAGGUGGCAAACCCCGCCAGGUCCGGAAGGAAGCAACGGUAGCUAUUGAUGCAGGUGUUAGCCACGGCUAAGAAUG
Molecule: signal recognition particle RNA, 96 nt
Filed under: Gammaproteobacteria bacterium
Lineage: Bacteria; Pseudomonadati; Pseudomonadota; Gammaproteobacteria
Description: signal recognition particle sRNA small type
Rfam family: Bacterial small signal recognition particle RNA
About the family: The signal recognition particle (SRP) is a universally conserved ribonucleoprotein involved in the co-translational targeting of proteins to membranes. Archaeal SRP consists of a 7S RNA and homologues of the eukaryotic SRP19 and SRP54 proteins.
Source: RNAcentral